This 339-nucleotide unclassified non-coding RNA is filed under the name soil metagenome. Its description in RNAcentral is "partial contains 5.8S ribosomal RNA, internal transcribed spacer 2, and large subunit ribosomal RNA". The stretch from base 1 to 120 matches the Rfam family "5.8S ribosomal RNA", at positions 35 to 154 of the family's 154-position model. The record is from RNAcentral.
GAUGAAGAACGUAGCGAAAUGCGAUAAGUAAUGCGAAUUGCAGAAUUCCGUGAGUCAUCGAAUCUUUGAACGCACAUUGCGCCCUCUGGUAUUCCGGAGGGCAUGCCUGUCUGAGCGUCAUUGUCAACCCUCAAGCUCAGCUUGCUGUUGGGUCCCCGUCGUUGCUUUAACGGCGGACCCGAAAGGUAAUGGCAGAGUCCGUGAGACCCUAGACGCAGCGAGCUUCUAGCACGCGUCUGGACGUUUUUCGGGCUCGGUCUUAACUAGAUGAUAACUUCCGAUUGACCUCAGAUCAGGUAGGGAUACCCGCUGACCUUAAGCAUAUCAAUAAGCGGAGGA